GACGAACGCUGGCGGCGUGCUUAACACAUGCAAGUCGAACGGUGAAGCGCCUUCCUUUUUGGUGGGUGUGGAUGAGUGGCGAACGGGUGAGUAACACGUGAGUAACCUGCCCCCUUCUUCUGGAUAACCGCAUGAAAGUGUGGCUAAUACGGGAUAUUCUGGGUCUGUCGCAUGAUGGGUCUGGGAAAGAUAUUGUUUCGGUGGGGGAUGGGCUCGCGGCCUAUCAGCUUGUUGGUGGGGUGAUGGCCUACCAAGGCGGUGACGGGUAGCCGGCCUGAGAGGGUGGACGGUCACACUGGGACGGAGACACGGCCCAGACUCCGACGGGAGGCAGCAGGGGGGAAUAGUGCACAAUGGGCGCAAGCCUGAUGCAGCGACGCCGCGUGAGGGAUGGAGGCCGGCGGGUUGUGAACCUCUUUCGCCAGUGAAGCAGGCCUGCCUCGUUUGUGGGUGGGUUGACGGUAGCUGGAUAAGAAGCGCCGGCUAACUACGUG
This 494-nucleotide ribosomal RNA is filed under the name uncultured bacterium. RNAcentral describes it as "partial 16S ribosomal RNA". It matches the Rfam family "Bacterial small subunit ribosomal RNA", at positions 28 to 507 of the family's 1533-position model. The record is from RNAcentral.